This is a long non-coding RNA of Dermochelys coriacea (leatherback sea turtle), 344 nucleotides long. RefSeq lists it as uncharacterized. The transcript is spliced from 2 exons. The record is from RefSeq and is a predicted model, not a curated record. NCBI's taxonomy places the organism in Eukaryota, Metazoa, Chordata, Testudines, Dermochelyidae.
CCAACCAUGUGCCCUCCUCAACAGUUGUAUGCAAAGAGCUCAUUUUAGAAAUCUGGUUUUUUUUUGAUCCAAACAUCCUUUUCUUUGGAAAUUGGUUACUCAAAACCGAUUCCUGAACAGCAGCUGCAAAAUCCUUUUGUAAAUCUGUUUGUAUUUGGUCCCUUGCACUCCUGAGGAACGGUAAUUGCUCUUAUCGUAAGAAUGUUCCAUUUUUUUUUUUUUAAUUCUUCCACUGAAUCCAUGUAUUGAAUUCUGAGGGGAGUCUUCAGAAAUGGUUGACUGGUUCCAGGCUGAUAUUUUUUCCCAUUAGAUUUCAGAGUAGCGGCCGUGUUAGUCUGUAUUCG